RNAcentral lists this transfer RNA (76 nucleotides) under Neogale vison (American mink). RNAcentral describes it as "Neovison vison (American mink) tRNA (ENSNVIG00000024063.1)". It matches the Rfam family "tRNA". From Rfam's summary of the family: Transfer RNA (tRNA) molecules are approximately 80 nucleotides in length. Their secondary structure includes four short double-helical elements and three loops (D, anti-codon, and T loops). Further hydrogen bonds mediate the characteristic L-shaped molecular structure. tRNAs have two regions of fundamental functional importance: the anti-codon, which is responsible for specific mRNA codon recognition, and the 3' end, to which the tRNAs corresponding amino acid is attached (by aminoacyl-tRNA synthetases). tRNAs cope with the degeneracy of the genetic code in two manners: having more than one tRNA (with a specific anti-codon) for a particular amino acid; and 'wobble' base-pairing, i.e. permitting non-standard base-pairing at the 3rd anti-codon position. Lineage: Eukaryota; Metazoa; Chordata; Mammalia; Carnivora; Mustelidae. The record is from RNAcentral.
UCGAGAAAGACAUAAUGGCUAUGACAUUGGCUUGAAACCAGUUUUAGGGGGUUCGAUUCCUUCCUUUCUUAUUUAC